CUUUCCAGAGAUGGAUUGGUGCCUUCGGGAACUGUGAGACAGGUGCUGCAUGGCUGUCGUCAGCUCGUGUUGUGAAAUGUUGGGUUAAGUCCCGCAACGAGCGCAACCCUUAUCCUUUGUUGCCAGCGGUUCGGCCGGGAACUCAAAGGAGACUGCCAGUGAUAAACUGGAGGAAGGUGGGGAUGACGUCAAGUCAUCAUGGCCCUUACGACCAGGGCUACACACGUGCUACAAUGGCAUAUACAAAGAGAAGCGACCUCGCGAGAGCAAGCGGACCUCAUAAAGUAUGUCGUAGUCCGGAUUGGAGUCUGCAACUCGACUCCAUGAAGUCGGAAUCGCUAGUAAUCGUAGAUCAGAAUGCUACGGUGAAUACGUUCCCGGGCCUUGUACACACCGCCCGUCACACCAUGGGAGUGGGUUGCAAAAGAAGUAGGUAGCUUAACCUUCGGGAGGGCGCUUACCACUUUGUGAUUCAUGACUGGGGUGAAGUCGUAACAAGGUAACCGUAGGGGAACCUGCGGUUGGAUCACCUCCUU
Molecule: ribosomal RNA, 536 nt
Filed under: Klebsiella pneumoniae
Lineage: Bacteria; Pseudomonadati; Pseudomonadota; Gammaproteobacteria; Enterobacterales; Enterobacteriaceae
Description: bacterial SSU rRNA
Rfam family: Bacterial small subunit ribosomal RNA
Source: RNAcentral